AUGUGCGGCGACGUCGACAACUCCGAGUCGUCCAUCGACUUCGCCGGGCGCGCCAACUGGCUGCGCGCGGCGGUGCUGGGCGCCAACGACGGGCUUGUCUCCACGGCCUCCCUCAUGCUCGACGUCAGCGCCAUCAAGCCCGACGCGCGCGCAAUGGUCGUGUCCGGGUUCGCCGGCCUCCUGGCGGGGGCGUGCAGCAUGGCCAUCGGAGAGUACGUGUCCGUCUGCUCCCAGCGCGACGUGGAGAUCGCGCAGCUGGACCGUGAUGGCAAGCGCGGCGGCAAUGAGGAGAAGGGGCUGCCCAGCCCGGCGCAAGCCGCGGCCGCCUCCGCGCUAGCUUUCUCCGUCGGGUCGCUGUGGUGGUCGCCGUGGCGACGUUGGCACUGGCAGCGUUCGGAUGCGUGGGCGCCGUGCUCGUGCGGGCCCCCGUGGCGAGGUUGUGCGCGCGGGUGGUGGUGGGAGGGCUGGCCGCUAUGGCCGUCACCUUUGGGUUCAUGA
Molecule: ribosomal RNA, 498 nt
Filed under: Triticum aestivum (bread wheat)
Lineage: Eukaryota; Viridiplantae; Streptophyta; Magnoliopsida; Poales; Poaceae
Description: partial small subunit ribosomal RNA
Source: RNAcentral